This 403-nucleotide ribosomal RNA is filed under the name uncultured bacterium. RNAcentral describes it as "bacterial SSU rRNA". It matches the Rfam family "Bacterial small subunit ribosomal RNA", at positions 64 to 507 of the family's 1533-position model. The record is from RNAcentral.
GAACGCCCUGAGUAAUCAGGGAGUGGCGGACGGGUGAGGAACACGUGGGUUAUCUGCCCNUGGGGUGAGGAAUACCGGCGAGAAAUCGCCGACAAUACCGCAUAGGAUCGCAAGAUCAAAGUCGCAAGACGCCACAGGAUGAGCCUGCGUCCGAUUAGCUAGUUGGUGGGGUAAAAGCCUACCAAGGCGACGAUCGGUAGCUGGUCUGAGAGGACGAUCAGCCACACUGGGAUUGAGAACGGCCCAGACUCCUACGGGGGGCAGCAGUGAGGAAUUUUCGUCAAUGGGGGAAACCCUGAACGAGCAACGCCGCGUGCAGGAAGAAGGUUUUCGGAUCGUAAACUGCUUUUCUGUGGGAAGAGAGAGGACGGUACCACAGGAAGAAGCCCCGGCUAACUACGUG